This 556-nucleotide ribosomal RNA is filed under the name uncultured bacterium. RNAcentral describes it as "partial 16S ribosomal RNA". It matches the Rfam family "Bacterial small subunit ribosomal RNA", at positions 355 to 902 of the family's 1533-position model. The record is from RNAcentral.
UGGGGAAUUUUGGACAAUGGGCGAAAGCCUGAUCCAGCAAUGCCGCGUGUGUGAAGAAGGCCUUCGGGUUGUAAAGCACUUUUGUCCGGAAAGAAAUCCUUGGCUCUAAUACAGUCGGGGGAUGACGGUACCGGAAGAAUAAGUACCGGCUAACUACGUGCCAGCAGCCGCGGUAAUACGUAGGGUGCAAGCGUUAAUCGGAAUUACUGGGCGUAAAGCGUGCGCAGGCGGUUUGCUAAGACCGAUGUGAAAUCCCCGGGCUCAACCUGGGAACUGCAUUGGUGACUGGCAGGCUAGAGUAUGGCAGAGGGGGGUAGAAUUCCACGUGUAGCAGUGAAAUGCGUAGAGAUGUGGAGGAAUACCGAUGGCGAAGGCAGCCCCCUGGGCCAAUACUGACGCUCAUGCACGAAAAGCGUGGGGAGCAAAACAGGAUUAGAUACCCUGGUAGUCCACGCCCUAAACGAUGUCAACUAGUUGUUGGGAUUCAUUUCCUUAGUAACGUAGCUAACGCGUGAAGUUGACCGCCUGGGGAGUACGGUCGCAAGAUUAAAAGCUC